UAAUACGGAGGGAGCUAGCGUUGUUCGGAAUCACUGGGCGUAAAGCGCGCGUAGGUGGUCUUAUAAGUUGGAAGUGAAAUCCCAGAGCUUAACUUUGGAAUUGCUUUCAAAACUGUAGGACUCGAGAAUGGUAGAGGGAAGUGGAAUUCUUAGUGUAGCGGUGAAAUGCGUAGAUAUUAAGAGGAACACCGGAGGCGAAGGCGGCUUCCUGGGCCAUUUCUGACACUGAGGCGCGAAAGCGUGGGGAGCAAACAGG
RNAcentral lists this ribosomal RNA (256 nucleotides) under uncultured bacterium. Its description in RNAcentral is "partial 16S ribosomal RNA". It matches the Rfam family "Bacterial small subunit ribosomal RNA", at positions 521 to 776 of the family's 1533-position model. The record is from RNAcentral.